CCCGCCGGCGACCGGCGCACGGGUGAGUAACACGUAUGAAACCUGUCCGUAGCAGGGGGAUAAGCGGAAGAAAUUCCGUCUAAUACCGCGUAACAACCCAUGGAGGCAUCUCUGUGGGUUUAAAGGAAGCGAUUCCGGCUACGGAUGGUCAUGCGUCGCAUUAGCUUGUUGGCGGGGUAACGGCCCACCAAGGCGACGAUGCGUAGGGGUUCUGAGAGGAAGGUCCCCCACACUGGUACUGAGACACGGACCAGACUCCUACGGGAGGCAGCAG
RNAcentral lists this ribosomal RNA (274 nucleotides) under uncultured bacterium. Its description in RNAcentral is "partial 16S ribosomal RNA". It matches the Rfam family "Bacterial small subunit ribosomal RNA", at positions 84 to 354 of the family's 1533-position model. The record is from RNAcentral.